RNAcentral lists this ribosomal RNA (1343 nucleotides) under uncultured bacterium. RNAcentral describes it as "16S ribosomal RNA". It matches the Rfam family "Bacterial small subunit ribosomal RNA", at positions 28 to 1378 of the family's 1533-position model. The record is from RNAcentral.
GACGAACGCUGGCGGCGUGCUUAACACAUGCAAGUCGAACGGAAAGGCCCUGCUUUUGUGGGGUGCUCGAGUGGCGAGCGGGUGAGUAACACGUGAGUAACCUGCCCUUGACUUUGGGAUAACUUCAGGAAACUGGGGCUAAUACCGGAUAGGAGCUCCUGCUGCAUGGUGGGGGUUGGAAAGUUUCGGCGGUUGGGGAUGGACUCGCGGCUUAUCAGCUUGUUGGUGGGGUAGUGGCUUACCAAGGCUUUGACGGGUAGCCGGCCUGAGAGGGUGACCGGCCACAUUGGGACUGAGAUACGGCCCAGACUCCUACGGGAGGCAGCAGUGGGGAAUAUUGCACAAUGGGCGGAAGCCUGAUGCAGCAACGCCGCGUGCGGGAUGACGGCCUUCGGGUUGUAAACCGCUUUCGCCUGUGACGAAGCGUGAGUGACGGUAAUGGGUAAAGAAGCACCGGCUAACUACGUGCCGGCAGCCGCGGUGAUACGUAGGGUGCGAGCGUUGUCCGGAUUUAUUGGGCGUAAAGGGCUCGUAGGUGGUUGAUCGCGUCGGAAGUGUAAUCUUGGGGCUUAACCCUGAGCGUGCUUUCGAUACGGGUUGACUUGAGGAAGGUAGGGGAGAAUGGAAUUCCUGGUGGAGCGGUGGAAUGCGCAGAUAUCAGGAGGAACACCAGUGGCGAAGGCGGUUCUCUGGGCCUUUCCUGACGCUGAGGAGCGAAAGCGUGGGGAGCGAACAGGCUUAGAUACCCUGGUAGUCCACGCUGUAAACGGUGGGUACUAGGUGUGGGGUCCAUUCCACGGGUUCCGUGCCGUAGCUAACGCUUUAAGUACCCCGCCUGGGGAGUACGGCCGCAAGGCUAAAACUCAAAGGAAUUGACGGGGCCCCGCACAAGCGGCGGAGCAUGCGGAUUAAUUCGAUGCAACGCGUAGAACCUUACCUGGGUUUGACAUGGAUCGGGAGUGCUCAGAGAUGGGUGUGCCUCUUUUGGGGUCGGUUCACAGGUGGUGCAUGGCUGUCGUCAGCUCGUGUCGUGAGAUGUUGGGUUAAGUCCCGCAACGAGCGCAACCCUUGUUCACUGUUGCCAGCACGUUAUGGUGGGGACUCAGUGGAGACCGCCGGGGUCAACUCGGAGGAAGGUGGGGAUGACGUCAAGUCAUCAUGCCCCUUAUGUCCAGGGCUUCACGCAUGCUACAAUGGCUGGUACAGAGAGUGGCGAGCCUGUGAGGGUGAGCGAAUCUCGGAAAGCCGGUCUCAGUUCGGAUUGGGGUCUGCAACUCGACCUCAUGAAGUCGGAGUCGCUAGUAAUCGCAGAUCAGCAACGCUGCGGUGAAAACGUUCCCGGG